Molecule: RNase P RNA, 366 nt
Filed under: bacterium
Lineage: Bacteria
Description: RNase P RNA component class A
Rfam family: Bacterial RNase P class A
About the family: Ribonuclease P (RNase P) is a ubiquitous endoribonuclease, found in archaea, bacteria and eukarya as well as chloroplasts and mitochondria. Its best characterised activity is the generation of mature 5'-ends of tRNAs by cleaving the 5'-leader elements of precursor-tRNAs.
Source: RNAcentral
GGCUCGUGUUAGGUAGUCGCGCGAAACUUUCCAGUUAACUGGAAAGUGGAGUGAGGAAAGUCCGAACACGCACUCAACUUGUUUGAGUAGCAGGGUAGCGGGUAACGCCCGUCGAGAGCAAUCUUAGGGAUGCGAGCAGUGACGCCCAAACAGAGAUGUGAGGGCACCCCUCGGGGUGAAUCUCUACGGAGACGUAGAGGGUGAAACGGCAAAAUUCCUACCUGCGUGCAAGGCCGUACUUAACUUCUUUGAAGUUCUGGGUGCCGCAAAGAUGUUACUGGCAACAGUAACGCAAGAUAAAUGACUACACACCAAGCCUGGGCACAGGUUUGGGGACAGAAUUCGGCUUAUAGACACGAGCUGCAC